CCUUCUUCUUAGUGAGGCUUCUACUUUGAUCUAGAUUGAGAACCCUAACUCGAUUUCUUAAUUUGAAAUCUGUGAGGAUUUUGGAAUAUGUGUUCUGGAGGUUUUGGAGGAAGGGAGGUCUGCAAAAUUGUAAGCCUUCGGAGAAGAGAAGUGCUGGGUCAGUUCCAUUUGUAUUGAGGAAAGGUGCCCAAAGCAAUUGUUGGAGCUGGAUUGCAGCAAUUGGAUUUAGCCCUCAGUUUGGAGAAGAAGAAAUGGACCCGAGCGUGUGCAUUUGGAAGUGGACAAAGUGUUGAAAGUCGAGAACGAACCCGAAUGUGGGCAAGCACUCCAAUUCCAGUGUGCAGGUUUCGAGCAUGUGGUCGGGAAGCGUACAGGGGAGGCACAUGGCACGGCUUGGCGCAUUUCUCUUUAGUUUUAUCAAAAGAAGGUUUUGGUCCUUAAUCGGAUUUUGUAGUAGCUAGUUUAUUUACUUUUUAUUUAUUUCCUACUCGUUUACAAAAAAAUUCCGGGAGACCCGUAACCCUGGGGCGCGUCUCCCAUACUUGUAGUUACUUAGUGAUCCGUUUUAUUUUCCAAAUUGGGCUCCGAUUGCAAGCCCAAAACUCUUAGCCCAUUUCGAAUUCCGCUUUUGACAAUGUGUUGUUAGGUUGCUAGAAUGAUUUGUCCAAGAAAGUGUUUUGUAAACCAACAACCUAAACUCAAAAGGCCUUGCGGUUUCGGGUUGAUGAGCUAUCGAGAUGCCAUUCGUGACAUGUCGAUUCCUCAUUGGCUCGGAGUCGCGGCGCUGUGGGACCCCCCUUUCGGGUCACCACAGUAAAGUGGUAUCAGAGCUCUAGG
Molecule: long non-coding RNA, 837 nt
Organism: Rosa rugosa (rugosa rose)
Lineage: Eukaryota; Viridiplantae; Streptophyta; Magnoliopsida; Rosales; Rosaceae
Exons: 4
Source: RefSeq, a predicted model, not a curated record